This 351-nucleotide unclassified non-coding RNA is filed under the name uncultured Entoloma. RNAcentral describes it as "partial contains 5.8S ribosomal RNA, internal transcribed spacer 2, and large subunit ribosomal RNA". The stretch from base 1 to 102 matches the Rfam family "5.8S ribosomal RNA", at positions 53 to 154 of the family's 154-position model. The record is from RNAcentral. Lineage: Eukaryota; Fungi; Basidiomycota; Agaricomycetes; Agaricales; Entolomataceae.
AUGCGAUAAGUAAUGUGAAUUGCAGAAUUCAGUGAAUCAUCGAAUCUUUGAACGCACCUUGCGCUCCUUGGUACUCCGAGGAGCAUGCCUGUUUGAGUGUCAUGAAAUUCUCAACCUUUCUGGCUUUUACAAAGUUGGUCAGGCUUGGAUUGUGGGGGUUGCUGGCUUCUAAAGUCAGCUCUUCUAAAAUACAUUAGCAAGAUCAUUGCUGCUCAUCACUGGUAUGAUAAUUAUCUAUACUAUUGAUGAGUCGGUUUCCUUUAUGGAGGAUUUUGCUCCUAGCUGUCUUUCAUUAAGACAAUACUUGACCAUUUUGACCUCAAAUCAGGUAGGACUACCCGCUGAACUUAA